This 284-nucleotide ribosomal RNA is filed under the name Chloropicon mariensis. Its description in RNAcentral is "partial Bacterial small subunit ribosomal RNA". It matches the Rfam family "Bacterial small subunit ribosomal RNA", at positions 1 to 317 of the family's 1533-position model. The record is from RNAcentral. Lineage: Eukaryota; Viridiplantae; Chlorophyta; Chloropicophyceae; Chloropicales; Chloropicaceae.
UUGAGAGUUUGAUCCUGGCUCAGAACGAACGCUGGCGGCAGGCUUAACACAUGCAAGUCGAGCGGGCCCUUCGGGGUCAGCGGCGGACGGGUUAGUAACGCGUGGGAACGUGCCUUUUGCUUCGGAAUAGCCCUGGGAAACUGGGGGUAAUACCGGAUGUGCCCUGAGGGGGAAAGAUUUAUCGGCAAGAGAUCGGCCCGCGUCUGAUUAGGUAGUUGGUGUGGUAACGGCGCACCAAGCCGACGAUCGGUAGCUGGUUUGAGAGGAUGAUCAGCAACACUGGG